GUAGGUGGCAAGCGUUGUCCGGAUUUACUGGGCGUAAAGGGCUUGUAGGCGGUUUGUUAAGUCUGGUGUGAAAUCUCCCGGCUCAACCGGGAGGGGUCAUCGGAUACUGGCAGACUUGAGACGGGUAGAGGAAAGCAGAAUUCCCGGUGUAGCGGUGAAAUGCGUAGAUAUCGGGAGGAAUACCAGUGGCGAAGGCGGCUUUCUGGGCCUGUUCUGACGCUGAGGAGCGAAAGCGUGGGGAGCAAACCGGAUUAGAUACCCGGGUAGUCCACGCCCUAAACGGUGGAUGCUAGGUGUGGGGGGUGUCGACCCCCUCCGUGCCGCAGCUAACGCUUUAAGCAUCCCGCCUGGGGAGUACGGCCGCAAGGCUA
Molecule: ribosomal RNA, 371 nt
Filed under: uncultured bacterium
Lineage: Bacteria
Description: bacterial SSU rRNA
Rfam family: Bacterial small subunit ribosomal RNA
Source: RNAcentral